UCUAGAACUCAAGAUAUGAGUUGAACACUGAACAGUGUUUGGGCUACAUGACAAAUUCUGACUUCUCUUUUGUUGCUACAAUUUGAACUUGAACAUGGUCAUUUUGAAUCUUGAACUUUCAUGAAAGUGUUAGGCCUAUGUCUUAGCUUUCCAUC
Populus trichocarpa (black cottonwood) is the source of this 155-nucleotide non-coding RNA. NCBI's taxonomy places the organism in Eukaryota, Viridiplantae, Streptophyta, Magnoliopsida, Malpighiales, Salicaceae. The record is from Rfam.